UACGGAGGGUGCAAGCAUUAAUCGGAUUUACUGGGCGUAAAGGGCGCGUAGGCGGAUGGAUAAGUCAGAUGUGAAAUUUCGGUACUCAAUAUCGAAGCUGCAUUUGAAACUAUUUAUCUAGAGGAUGGACGGAGAAAACGGAAUUCCACGUGUAGCGGUGAAAUGCGUAGAUAUGUGGAAGAACACCUGUGGCGAAAGCGGUUUUCUAGUUUAUUCCUGACGCUGAGGCGCGAGAGCAAGGGGAGCAAACAGG
RNAcentral lists this ribosomal RNA (253 nucleotides) under uncultured bacterium. Its description in RNAcentral is "partial 16S ribosomal RNA". It matches the Rfam family "Bacterial small subunit ribosomal RNA", at positions 524 to 776 of the family's 1533-position model. The record is from RNAcentral.